This 468-nucleotide ribosomal RNA is filed under the name uncultured bacterium. RNAcentral describes it as "partial 16S ribosomal RNA". It matches the Rfam family "Bacterial small subunit ribosomal RNA", at positions 28 to 507 of the family's 1533-position model. The record is from RNAcentral.
GACGAACGCUGGCGGCGUGCUUAACACAUGCAAGUCGAACGGAAAGGCCCUGCUUUUGUGGGGUGCUCGAGUGGCGAACGGGUGAGUAACACGUGAGUAACCUGCCCUUGACUUUGGGAUAACUUCAGGAAACUGGGGCUAAUACCGGCUAGGAGCUCCUGCUGCAUGGUGGGGGUUGGAAAGUUUCGGCGGUUGGGGAUGGACUCGCGGCUUAUCAGCUUGUUGGUGUGGUAGUGGCUUACCAAGGCUUUGAAGGGUAGCCGGCCUGAGAGGGUGACCGGCCACAUUGGGACUGAUCUACGGCCCAGACUCCUACGGGAGGCAGCAGUGGGGAAUAUUGCACUAUGGGCGGAAGCCUGAUGCAGCAACGCCGCGUGCGGGAUGACGGCCUUCGGGUUGUAUACCGCUUUCGCCUGUGACGAGGCGUGAGUGACGGUAAUGGGUAAAGAAGCUCCGACUAACUACGUG